RNAcentral lists this ribosomal RNA (460 nucleotides) under uncultured bacterium. RNAcentral's name for it is "partial 16S ribosomal RNA". It matches the Rfam family "Bacterial small subunit ribosomal RNA", at positions 338 to 795 of the family's 1533-position model. The record is from RNAcentral.
CCUACGGGAGGCAGCAGUGAGGAAUAUUGGUCAAUGGACGAGAGUCUGAACCAGCCAAGUAGCGUGAAGGAUGACUGCCCUAUGGGUUGUAAACUUCUUUUAUAAAGGAAUAAAACGAGGCACGUGUGCCUUUUUGCAUGUACUUUAUGAAUAAGGAUCGGCUAACUCCGUGCCAGCAGCCGCGGUAAUACGGAGGAUCCGAGCGUUAGCCGGAUUUAUUGGGUUUAAAGGGAGCGUAGAUGGGUUGUUAAGUCAGUUGUGAAAGUUUGCGGCUCAACCGUAAAAUGGCAAUUGAUACUGGCAGUCGUGAGUACAGUUGAGGUAGGCGGAAUUCGUGGUGUAGCGGUGAAAUGCUUAGAUAUCACGAAGAACCCCGAUUGCGAAGGCAGCUUACUAAACUGUGACUGACAUUGAUGCUCGAAAGUGUGGGUAUCAAACAGGAUUAGAUACCCCAGUAGUC